GGACUACUGGGGUUUCUAAUCCUGUUUGCUCCCCACGCUUUCGUGCCUUAGUGUCAGGAACGAGCCAGUAAUCUGCCUACGCCAUCGGUGUUCCUCCUAAUAUCAACGGAUUUUACCCCUACAUUAGGAAUUCCAAUUACCUCUCUCGUCCUCUAGCUCUGCAGUUUUGAUAAUGUGUAUUCGGUUGAGCCGAACGCUUUCACUAUCAACUUACAGUGCCACCUACGCAACUCUUUACGCCCAGUAAUUCCGGAUAACGCUUGGAUCCUCCGUAUUACCGCGGCUGCUGGCAC
RNAcentral lists this ribosomal RNA (293 nucleotides) under uncultured bacterium. RNAcentral describes it as "partial 16S ribosomal RNA". The record is from RNAcentral.